AGUACACUCCUACGGGAGCAGCAGUAGGGAAUCUUCACAAUGGGCGAAAGCCUGAUGGAGCAACGCCGCGUGCAGGAUGAAGGCCUUCGGGUUGUAAACUGCUUUUAUAAGCGAGAAAUAUGAUGGUAACUUAUGAAUAAGGAUCGGCUAACUACGUGCC
Molecule: ribosomal RNA, 160 nt
Filed under: uncultured bacterium
Lineage: Bacteria
Description: partial 16S ribosomal RNA
Rfam family: Bacterial small subunit ribosomal RNA
Source: RNAcentral